This 245-nucleotide ribosomal RNA is filed under the name uncultured bacterium. Its description in RNAcentral is "partial small subunit ribosomal RNA". It matches the Rfam family "Bacterial small subunit ribosomal RNA", at positions 26 to 285 of the family's 1533-position model. The record is from RNAcentral.
AGAAUCAACGCUGGCGGCGUGCCUAACACAUGCAAGUCGCACGAGAAAGGGACUUCGGUCCUGAGUACAGUGGCGCACGGGUGAGUAACACGUGAAUAAUCUACCUCCGAGUGGGGAAUAACUGAGAGAGAUCUUAGCUAAUACCGCAUAACACUUACGAGUCAAAGCAGCAAUGCGCUUGGAGAGGAGUUCGCGGCAGAUUAGUUAGUUGGCGGGGUAAUGGCCCACCAAGACGAUGAUCUGUA